This 253-nucleotide ribosomal RNA is filed under the name uncultured bacterium. RNAcentral's name for it is "partial 16S ribosomal RNA". It matches the Rfam family "Bacterial small subunit ribosomal RNA", at positions 524 to 776 of the family's 1533-position model. The record is from RNAcentral.
UACGAGGGGUGCAAGCGUUACUCGGAAUUACUGGGCGUAAAGCGUGCGUAGGCGGUUUGUUAAGUCCGUUGUGAAAGCCCUGGGCUCAACCUGGGAAUUGCAGUGGAUACUGGCGAGCUAGAGUGCGGUAGAGGAUGGUGGAAUUCCCGGUGUAGCGGUGAAAUGCGUAGAGAUCGGGAGGAACACCCGUGGCGAAGGCGGCCAUCUGGACCAGCACUGACGCUGAGGCACGAAAGCGUGGGGAGCAAACAGG